AAUACUUUUGAAGGCAUCUUGGGGCUUUUUGGCAUGCUUCCUGACAUUAUAUCUCACGUUCCGGCCUCGCAAUAUUUUGGCAACGAUUCUACAGCAUCCAAUAAUGCUGGUCGCAUCCAAACUAUCCUACUGCGUAUACGUCGUCCAAUACACAGUAGUUUACGCGAUCUACCGCAAUAUCACCUUCCCGCUAAUGAGCAGCGUCUUCACCAUGAUACUAUUAACAUCCUCAAUAUUGUUCGUCACACUUAUCAUGGGCUUGCUGCUUCAUGUUUGCAUUGAAAUGCCUGUUAUGACUUUAUGCAAACCCCUUCUUGCACUGAAACGUUCAAACUAAGGGCAACAGAUACAAUGUACAAACAAUGAUUUGACCGAUGGAAGGAGUCUUUACCGAUCAUAAGGGCAAAUGUGUAUUCAAAU
Molecule: long non-coding RNA, 420 nt
Organism: Aedes aegypti (yellow fever mosquito)
Lineage: Eukaryota; Metazoa; Arthropoda; Insecta; Diptera; Culicidae
Exons: 3
Source: RefSeq, a predicted model, not a curated record